This 303-nucleotide long non-coding RNA is filed under the name Ictidomys tridecemlineatus (thirteen-lined ground squirrel). RNAcentral's name for it is "lncRNA (ENSSTOG00000029366.1)". Lineage: Eukaryota; Metazoa; Chordata; Mammalia; Rodentia; Sciuridae. The record is from RNAcentral.
AAUCCUACUUUUCCCAGGAGAAGGCAGCCCUUCACAUGAUGAAGGUCUUUCUGAAGCAUGAGCUUUGGCAUUGGAACAUCUUUCCUGGACAGAACUCGCUUUUGGAGUUGUGCACAUUUGGGAAGUAUUUUUACAAGGAGGUGCUGAGAGCCGCCAUUACAGCAGGUGAGCCUGGGACUUCUGCCCAUGACCUUCAUGAUGAUCCGUGAAGACACGGCUCCCAUCUGACACUGCCCUUGUUUGGAUGGCUAAUCAGAAAGCAUGCACUACUUCUAAAAGGUAAUUGGCUCUGAUGGCUAUAAA